UGUACUUUGGAAUCGGCUCCUGGUGCUGCUCCGAAAAUCUCUCCCGAGAUGCCCUUUGUACGUAAACAGUAAAGACGCGCCGGACGAAUUUUGCUCUCCUAUCUGCCAGCAACAUCUCGGCGAAUGGGGGACUUAUUUCUUUCUCGUCGUUCUUUGUACGUUAAUCAUCUUUUUCCCCCUAACGGCGACAAUAAUAUCUCUAGACGCGCCGCCAUCUUCCCCUGCUUUUCUUUUUUUGUCCACACCACUGCCCGUAAUCUUGCAACGUAUUUCAAGUGACAUUCAUACUGCACAUGAUAAUAAUAGCGUGAUGAUACGGUGUUUGGUCCGUUUUGCUGCUGCUAUCGGUGGUUGAUUUAUUCUUUUCUUUUUUUGUUCUUCUUUUUUCCAAACCGCCGAGAGCACGCACCGACCGGGAGUGUGUUUACACGUUUCGCGCUGGUGUCGCGGCCACUGAUUUGCCACAACGUGAUGCAUAUGAAGGUGUCAAUUGAAGGCAAUUUAAAUAAAUUUGCUCAUAAGCUGCCCUGCCCCUGGUGUGCGCUGCAUCUUGGGCACGUUUUCGUGUGGGAUCGCUUUUGAAACCGCCAUGUACUCGGUGGGCUGAGUAGCUGAAGAGGGGGCAAGAUGAAACCAGAGCUGCAUCAUGUAGAAUGGAGAGAUGUUCACGCCGAUAUUAACUGCCUUGUGUAUGUUGCCCAAGUGCGGAUCACUAAGGGGAUUAGAGAGGUCGUCACAUGUAGACAUACGCAUACGCUCACAGCGAGAAGCAGCGCUACCCGAGCAGAUGCUACACACCGAUAGACGAGUCAUCAGAUCCGAGGCGGCAUGCAGGCACCGAGGGAGUCGUCGUCGUCGCCACGCGUGGACUUUGAACCCGAGUGAGCAACGUAUGGUGCGCAGUUGCGUCAACCGAUUUGUUUCCAUUGAUUCCCGCAACACAUGUUUGAAGGGGUACCGCGCACAUUCGACGCCGAUGAGACGGCACUGGAAGCCCCUUGUGUGUUCGUUCGUUCGUUCUCGAUGGGGAAAAGUAUCGAGCGGUUGUGUCCCCGAUAGCGUUAUCAGCGCACGAUAACCAGCUGCGGUUACCGUCAUCCAUUGCUCGCGCGCAUUGCUUAGCUUUGGCUUCGUUUGUCCGCUUCGAUUGCCAGCGGAGCCAGCGGUAAAGGCAACUGCUGUUUGUUGGAGGCUUAGAAAGUUUGUCCAGGGGUCCGAGAAGAGAGCUCCGAGAAAGACACGGCCAAGUGGCGGAUGUUUACACGCAAACGGCAAGAAGUUUACAGUGCAAAGCAAGAUUACAACAGUUGGAAGACAUUUUCCACAUUGUACAGGACAGAGGCUGCUAACAGAGCCGAUUUUUGAUUUAAAAACUCGGUGCAAAUUGAGAUGGUUACACUCGAUUUCAACAUAAAAUGGUACAGUCACUCAAUCGACGACUUGAAUGAUUUAUUUCCAACUUUUUACGGAUAUUUGAUUCUUUUCUUUAAUAUGGCUAUUGUUCAUGAGGUACUUUUUGUCAAGAACAUGAAUUAAUGUUCUUCAAAUCGUAUCAGAAACACUAACACAAUCACUAAAAUAAUAUUUUGAUUCAUUUUACACUUGGGUUGUCGACGCGUAUAUACGAUUUUUUUAUUCGAUUCUAAUUGUAAGGCUCACUGCGAAAUGUGAGAAAAUAAAUACAUUUCCGAGGA
This is a long non-coding RNA of Anopheles merus, 1694 nucleotides long. RefSeq lists it as uncharacterized. The record is from RefSeq and is a predicted model, not a curated record. Lineage: Eukaryota; Metazoa; Arthropoda; Insecta; Diptera; Culicidae. The transcript is spliced from 2 exons.